This 1214-nucleotide long non-coding RNA is filed under the name Phoenix dactylifera (date palm). Its description in RNAcentral is "long non-coding RNA (PDAC_LNC007618)". Lineage: Eukaryota; Viridiplantae; Streptophyta; Magnoliopsida; Arecales; Arecaceae. The record is from RNAcentral.
ACUGAAGUGAUAGUGCAGGUGCUUGUUAGAGAACAAUGGUACUGAGCGUGACCAAGACAAGAAGUCACUUGGAUGUCUAUCCACUUGUCAAUGACUUGCUUGAUGUUGUAGUGGUGUGACUGGUACUUUGACCUGCGGUGCUUCGGCUACUCAUAGUGAGGUUAUUGUAGUUUGACUGCACACAAACGUAGUCUCUAGCCAUAUGAGUCCAUGCAGUGUAGAUUGGCUGCAAUAGGUUCACUGUAGGAGUAGGGCAUGCGCCUACAAGGAAUCUAUCGACCUUGAUGGAUAAGGAGAGAUCCUAUAUGAUUUAUAAGACUAAGUUCGUAAAACCUCGGCCGGGGCAGAUUGCAUAGUGGAGAAAGAGUUUUCCACUCUCAAACUUAAGUCGAAUAAAUCUAGACAUAUGUUACACGAUGGGGUUUAACAAGUCAUCCAUGACCUCCGUCCUGUAGGGAUCCACGAUAGAGGAACUGUAUCACACAAUAACUGCACCUAAAGGUUCAUCAUUCCAUUCUGCUGGGUAGCCACUACAUGCUGCUAGGUGUCACUGAUGGAUGGUGAGACUCAGAAAAUAUCUUGAUGGUCGAUAAACCCUAAUAAGUUUAGUUGGAAUCGUUCCAACCCAUUGAAAGGAGUUUUCAAUGAUAUUGUGAUAGAGAUCGCAAUAUAUCUCACUACUAGUCAGAAUAGAACCUAUGGGAUCACACACACUAGAGGUAUUGACCGAUUCGAUGGUUGAAUUGUGAUUAUGAAUCACGAGUAAUCAAUUCGAUUGAUAAUCAGUUGAAGAAGGAAUAAUGAAAAUUGAUUAAUUGGACUUAAAACACGAAUCCUACUUGGAGUAGGAUUCCUGGAGUCCUAAUUGAAUUAUGACCGGAAAUCCUACUUGGACUAGGACUGGAAGUCCUACUUGGAGUAGGAUUCCUACAAUCAUAAUUAAAUUAGGAUUUUUGAAUUCAACUUGGAUUCCUACUUAGAGUAGGAUUCCUAGAAGUCCUAAUUAGAUUAGGACUUCGGAUUCAAAUUAGAGUCAUAAUUGGAUUAGGACUAAAAUUAAAUAAAUCCUAAUUGGAUUAGGACUAAAAUUAAAUAAAUCCUAAUUGGAUUAAGAUUUUUUAAGUCCCAAUUAAUUGUUAAUCUAAUGAAUUAACAUGACUCCUAAUUGAAUUAGGAUUGAAGAGUUCAAUUGAGUCAUGGUUCAUUUGAGUUCU